AACAAGUAAAAGAUAUGGAUGAACAAAUUCUAAGGAAUUCAUAGAGCUUUCUAUGAAAAUUAUAACAUCUUGCACUUUGAGCACGAAACUUCAUACUGAAACUCAUGUAGCGAGUGUUAGGCCAAUGACUCCCAAGCUAGAUAGCUUUAGGGUAUUAAAUGUAAAAUACUCCGAGGGCUUAAUAACACGAGUUGAAAAGGCUUCGAAAUUAGUUUUUUUUUUUUUUUUUUUU
RNAcentral lists this long non-coding RNA (232 nucleotides) under Prunus persica (peach). Its description in RNAcentral is "long non-coding RNA (PPER_LNC004356)". The record is from RNAcentral. Lineage: Eukaryota; Viridiplantae; Streptophyta; Magnoliopsida; Rosales; Rosaceae.